Non-coding RNA from Triticum aestivum (bread wheat), 115 nucleotides. NCBI's taxonomy places the organism in Eukaryota, Viridiplantae, Streptophyta, Magnoliopsida, Poales, Poaceae. The record is from Rfam.
CAACUACUCCCUCCGUUCGGAAUUACUCGUCCAAGAAAUGAAUGUAUCUAGAUGUAUUUUAGUUGUAGAUACAUCCAUUUUUGUGGCAAGUAAUUCCGAACGGAGGGAGUAGUAG